AAAGGAUUCAACAGAUAAUGACAGAUUGAAAUAAAAUAAUAAAAUCAAUUUAAAGAUAAAACAAAUUUAUUGUUGGCAUUUGUUUGCACCCUAUAUGGAAUGUACUGACCCCAUGUACAUAUGGUAUUCAUGAUUAGGUCACUAAGACAUCAUGUAACUAAUAAAAUAUAUAAAACCCAAAACGAAUACUAGGCGAUAGCAAUACACCGAAAUUCCCCCAUGGUCAUCCGCUGUAAAAAAAAAAAAAAAAAAACAACAUCUGGUAGUCGACUAUAAAAGGCUGGACAUAAACAAAUUGAUUAAUUGAUAAAACUAAGUAAGUAUCAUACGAAUAAACCAUGAGCAUGAUGAGGGCAGAUAAAGAAAACAAACAAAAAUGAAGAAAUAGCACCAAUCCAGAACAAAAUCAGAACCA
This 415-nucleotide long non-coding RNA is filed under the name Mytilus galloprovincialis (Mediterranean mussel). The record is from RNAcentral. Lineage: Eukaryota; Metazoa; Mollusca; Bivalvia; Mytilida; Mytilidae.